This 999-nucleotide long non-coding RNA is filed under the name Salmo salar (Atlantic salmon). RNAcentral's name for it is "lncRNA (ENSSSAG00000121740.1)". The record is from RNAcentral. Lineage: Eukaryota; Metazoa; Chordata; Actinopteri; Salmoniformes; Salmonidae.
GUGGAGUGAGGUAAGGUAUGGUGGGGUGAGGUGAGGUAAGGUAUGGUGAGGUGUGGUAGCGUGAGGUGGGGUGAGGUAUGGUGAGAUAUUGUGUAUUAAGGUGGUCAGUAGGAUGGUAAAGGGUUGUAGGACGGGGUCAGUAGGAUGGUGUAGGGUUGUAGGACGGGGUCAGUAAGAUGGUGUAGGGUUGUAGGAUGGGGUCAGUAGGAUGGUAAAGGGUUGUAGGACGGGGUCAGUAAUAUGGUAAAGGGUUGUAGGACGGGGUCAGUAAGAUGGUGUAGGGUUGUAGGAUGGGGUCAGUAGGAUGGUAAAGGGUUGUAGGGGUCAGUAGACGGUGUAGGGUUGUAGGAUGGGGUCAGUAGGAUGGUGUAGGGUUGUAGGAUGGGGUCAGUAGGAUGGUAAAGGGUUGUAGGACGGGGUCAGUAGGAUGGUAAAGGGUUGUAGGACGGGGUCAGUAGGAUUCUAAAGGGUUGUAUGAUGGGGUCAGUAGGACGGUAAAAGGUUGUAGGAUGGGGUCAGUAGGAUGGUGUAGGGUUGUAGGAUGGGGUCAGUAGGAUGGUGUAGGGUUGUAGGAUGGGGUCUGUAGGAUGGUGUAGGGUUGUAGGAUGGGGUCAGUAGGAUGGUGUAGGGUUGUAGGAUGGGGUCAGUAGGAUGGUGUAGGGUUGUAGGAAGGGGUCAGUAGGAUGGUGUAGGGUUGUAGGGUGGGGUCAGUAGGAUGGUAAAGGGUUGUAGGAUGGGGUCAGUAGGAUGGUGUAGGGUUGUAGGAUGGGGUCAGUAGGAUGGUGUAGGGUUGUAGGAUGGGGUCUGUAGGAUGGUGUAGGGUUGUAGGAUGGGGUCAGUAGGAUGGUGUAGGGUUGUAGGAUGGGGUCAGUAGGAUGGUGUAGGGUUGUAGGACGGGGUCAGUAGGAUGGUGUAGGGUUGUAGGGUGGGGUCAGUAGGAUGGUAAAGGGUUGUAGGACGGGGUCAGUAGGAUGGUGUAGGAGUGAGGUGAGGUGAGGC